This is a long non-coding RNA of Carassius auratus (goldfish), 1483 nucleotides long. RefSeq lists it as uncharacterized. NCBI's taxonomy places the organism in Eukaryota, Metazoa, Chordata, Actinopteri, Cypriniformes, Cyprinidae. The transcript is spliced from 4 exons. The record is from RefSeq and is a predicted model, not a curated record.
AGACACAUGUACCACAACCUGGAGGGGGAAGUAUUUAGAAUUAUACCAAAAGGUAUUUUACUUACCGUACUAAAAAGUAUAAACUAUUAAUCAGAAGGCAAAAUGAAUGCAUCAUUCUUGCAUGAAAUAUGAUACAGUAGGCAGUUUAUAGAGUUUAUGUGAAUAUUUAGAGAGAAAAUGAAUUCCUAUUAGCCCUCUACAUAUACAGUGUGUCAUGUGUCUGCAAAUCGUUGUACAAGUGACAAGGUUUUAAAUGAAUCUUUUUCAUUUUAUUUGAAUUUAAUUGACAGUUUGGUUUGUAGCUUUUGGAAGAGGUGAUAUCGUGGAUGCGAGAGGGAACUGAAAUAAACGGGAAGAUUUAAUAUCUGUUUAUUACAUACAAUAUAAUUUAGAAACCUUAUUUCAUUUAAAUAGAAAUAAGGUUUCUAAAUUAUAUUGUAAAAUAUAAGGAGGUAAAAAUCGGCGGCGUGGUAAGAACGAGAACGAGUCAGAGAAGAGAGCUGGUUUUCAAGGAGGAUGGCCUGGGUCUGAAUCAACACAUCUGACAUUAUCCUUAUUGGUCUUAGAGAUUAUCAGGAUACCAAAGCAGAUGUUAUUUUAAAGUACAAUGCAGAUGAGGCCUGCAGUCUUAAGGCCUACGGAGAGCUUCCAGAACACGGUGAGUCUCAAACUGGCCUUACUCAGUUUCUUUAACUUCUGUUUACUGGAAAUGUUUUAUGGAAAUGUCAUGUUACUAAAACCAAUCACCCUCAAUUCUAAGUGUCAGAUGAUGUAGAUGUAUGCAAGUAAAGACUCAAAAAGACUAAAAUCAAUGAAACUGACACAUUUGGACCUGGAGACGAUGAUGAGAUUCAGUUUGAUGAUAUUGGGAAUGAUGAUGAGGACAUUGAUGAUAUCUGAUUCAGGGCUGCUGGUGGCUUAUAUAAUUUACACUGAGAGGAGAGAUAAUUUCCUUUUUGGGGAAUAAUUGCAACUUUGACAUAACUGAUGCCUCAUAUCCUGCAACCUCCCUCACAGAAAAACUUGGAGAGUCAUUACUUAUCUGUUUCUCUAUCCACCACGUAAUCUCACUACAAGGCAUCUCCGAGCAUUCUGGCUUUGACACAAAUCGCUCUCUUUCACAUUUAAUACAACCACACAACAUAGACUACGUAGUUUUGUUAUGAUUUUCAAGAAUUUAUAUUAUAUUCCACUGUAUGUGGUGGAAUUUAAAAUGCAAAGAAAAUCCAGAAUUUGCAGUUCUGUUAUAUAUAAUUCUUUGCAUUUAAUUUUCUCCAAGUAAACGGUAUCUUCAUCAUGGCAUUUGCAUGCAUCUCUGCUGUGAAAUAAAAAUGAAUUUGUUGUUGUCCCCCUCAGUUUGCAAUGAAGUGAAUGCAAAAAAUACUUUCAAAACCUUAUAUAGACGUUUCUGUCCUUGAAAAACACUACACGAAUCUUGUAGAUUACAAUCUGCAACUAGACGGAUGUACGGUUACUUCCUCUA